This is a long non-coding RNA of Gavialis gangeticus (Gharial), 280 nucleotides long. RefSeq lists it as uncharacterized. Lineage: Eukaryota; Metazoa; Chordata; Crocodylia; Gavialidae. The record is from RefSeq and is a predicted model, not a curated record. The transcript is spliced from 2 exons.
UCCAGUGCUGCUGGUUUGCAAAGAGUAACAAAGAUAAAACAGGUGGCCAGGAGAAGGAAGAUGCAGAUGAGUACAAUGAUGAUAGGCAGAGGGUCUGACUUUUCCACUGGGGGCCCAGAGCUUAGUGGGACCGAGUUAGUUGCACUAGCUAUGAAUUCAAGAAUACUUAGAGUUGGAGAGGUCUCAUUCCCAGCUUCUUCUGUGUUCAUCUUUUCUGCAAAGCACAACAGAAACAAAAAUAAAGUGAGUUUAUCUAUAGGCUGUUUGGUGGCCCCUGUAA